CUACGGGGGGCUGCAGUGGGGAAUACUGCACAAUGGAGGAAACUCUGAUGCAGCAACGCCGCGUGGAGGAUGACACUUUUCGGAGCGUAAACUCCUUUUAUAUAGGAAGAAGAUGACGGUACUAUAUGAAUAAGCGCCGGCUAACUCCGUGCCAGCAGCCGCGGUAAUACGGAGGGCGCAAGCGUUACUCGGAAUCACUGGGCGUAAAGAGCGUGUAGGCGGAUUAAAAAGUCAGAAGUGAAAUCCUAUAGCUUAACUAUAGAACUGCUUCUGAAACUCUUAAUCUAGAAUGUGGGAGAGGUAGAUGGAAUUUCUGGUGUAGGGGUAAAAUCCGUAGAGAUCAGAAGGAAUACCGAUUGCGAAGGCGAUCUACUAGAACAUUAUUGACGCUGAGACGCGAAAGCGUGGGGAGCAAACAGGAUUAGAUACCCCGGUAGUC
Molecule: ribosomal RNA, 439 nt
Filed under: uncultured bacterium
Lineage: Bacteria
Description: partial 16S ribosomal RNA
Rfam family: Bacterial small subunit ribosomal RNA
Source: RNAcentral